RNAcentral lists this ribosomal RNA (593 nucleotides) under uncultured bacterium. Its description in RNAcentral is "bacterial SSU rRNA". It matches the Rfam family "Bacterial small subunit ribosomal RNA", at positions 8 to 612 of the family's 1533-position model. The record is from RNAcentral.
AGAGUUUGAUCAUGGCUCAGAGUGAACGCUGGCGGCGUGCCUAACACAUGCAAGUCGAACGAGAACGGAUAUAAGUUUACUUAUAUUGUCAGCUAAGUGGCGCACGGGUGAGUAAUAUAUAGUUAAUCUGCCCUGAAGAAGAGAAUAAUUGUUGGAAACGACUUGUAAUGCUCUAUAUGCCUUUAUCACAUAAGUGAGCAAGGGAAAUAUUUAUAGCUUCGGGAUGAGACUGUACGGUAUCAGCUAGUUGGUGAGGUAAUGGCUCACCAAGGCUACGACAUCUAACUGGUUUGAGAGGAUGAUCAGUCACACUGGAACUGAGACACGGUCCAGACUCCUACGGGAGGCAGCAGUGGGGAAUAUUGCACAAUGGAGGAAACUCUGAUGCAGCAACGCCGCGUGGAGGAUGACACAUUUCGGUGCGUAAACUCCUUUUAUUAGGGAAGAUAAUGACGGUACCUAAUGAAUAAGCACCGGCUAACUCCGUGCCAGCAGCCGCGGUAAUACGGGGGGUGCAAGCGUUACUCGGAAUCACUGGGCGUAAAGAGCAUGUAGGCUGAUUAGUAAGUUGGAAGUGAAAUCCUAUGGCUCAA